GGGCGAGACUCUGAUCCAGCCAUGCCGCGUGCAGGAAGACUGCCCUAUGGGUUGUAAACUGCUUUUAUAUAGGAAGAAACCUUGGUACGUGUACCUAGCUGACGGUACUAUAAGAAUAAGGAUCGGCUAACUCCGUGCCAGCAGCCGCGGUAAUACGGAGGAUCCAAGCGUUAUCCGGAAUCAUUGGGUUUAAAGGGUCCGUAGGUGGAUAAUUAAGUCAGAGGUGAAAUCUUGCAGCUCAACUGUAAAAUUGCCUUUGAUACUGGUUAUCUUGAGUUAUUAUGAAGUAGUUAGAAUAUGUAGUGUAGCGGUGAAAUGCAUAGAUAUUACAUAGAAUACCAAUUGCGAAGGCAGAUUACUAAUAAUCAACUGACACUGAUGGACGAAAGCGUGGGUAGCGAACAGGAUUAGAUACCCUGGUAGUCCACGCCGUAAACGAUGGUUACUAGCUGUUUGGACCUUGUGUCUGAGUGGCUAAGCGAAAGUGAUAAGUAACCCACCUGGGGAGUACGUUCGCAAGAAUG
This 524-nucleotide ribosomal RNA is filed under the name uncultured Bacteroidota bacterium. RNAcentral's name for it is "bacterial SSU rRNA". It matches the Rfam family "Bacterial small subunit ribosomal RNA", at positions 373 to 896 of the family's 1533-position model. Lineage: Bacteria; Pseudomonadati; Bacteroidota. The record is from RNAcentral.